Molecule: ribosomal RNA, 484 nt
Filed under: uncultured bacterium
Lineage: Bacteria
Description: partial 16S ribosomal RNA
Rfam family: Bacterial small subunit ribosomal RNA
Source: RNAcentral
AUUGAACGCUGGCGGCAUGCCUUACACAUGCGAGUCGAACGGCAGCACGGGAGUAAUCCUGGUGGCGAGUGGCGAACGGGUGAGUAAAGCAUCGGAACGUGCCCAGUCGUGGGGGAUAACGUAGCGAAAGCUACGCUAAUACCGCAUACGAUCUGUGGAUGAAAGCGGGGGACCGUAAGGCCUCGCGCGAUUGGAGCGGCCGAUGUCAGAUUAGGUAGUUGGUGAGGUAAAGGCUCACCAAGCCGACGAUCUGUAGCUGGUCUGAGAGGACGACCAGCCACACUGGGACUGAGACACGGCCCAGACUCCUACGGGAGGCAGCAGUGGGGAAUUUUGGACAAUGGGCGCAAGCCUGAUCCAGCAAUGCCGCGUGCAGGAUGAAGGCCUUCGGGUUGUAAACUGCUUUUGUACGGAGCGAAAAGGCUUCCACUAAUACUGGGGGCUCAUGACGGUACCGUAAGAAUAAGCACCGGCUAACUACGUG